AUCCGAGUGGUUCCCGCUGAGGGAAUCUUUUGUCGGCUCUAAAAAGGCCGGUGAAUAAGGGGAGGGCAAGUCUGGUGUCAGCCGCCGCGGUAAUACCAGCUCCUCGAGUGGUCGGGGCGAUUAUUGGGCCUAAAGCAUCCGUAGCCGCGUUCUGUAGGUCCUCUGUUAAAUCCAACGGCUUAACCGUUGGCCCUGCAGAGAGAUACCGCAGGACUAGGAGGCGGGAGAGGCGGACGGUACUCUACGUGUAGGGGUAAAAUCCUUUGAUCCGUGGAAGACCACCAGUGGCGAAGGCGGUCUGCCAGAACGCGCUCGACGGUGAGGGAUGAAAGCUGGGGGAGCGAACCGGAUUAGAUACCCGGGUAGUCCCAGCCGUAAACGAUGCGAGCUAGAUGAUUCAAUCGCAAAUCGCGAUGGAAGUGUCGCAGGGAAGCCGUUAAUCUC
This 444-nucleotide ribosomal RNA is filed under the name uncultured crenarchaeote. RNAcentral's name for it is "bacterial SSU rRNA". It matches the Rfam family "Archaeal small subunit ribosomal RNA", at positions 379 to 822 of the family's 1478-position model. The record is from RNAcentral. Lineage: Archaea; Thermoproteati; Thermoproteota.